This 46-nucleotide small RNA is filed under the name Sinorhizobium meliloti 2011. RNAcentral's name for it is "putative ncRNA". Lineage: Bacteria; Pseudomonadati; Pseudomonadota; Alphaproteobacteria; Hyphomicrobiales; Rhizobiaceae. The record is from RNAcentral.
AUAUCGAGCGAGGCCGAAGUCCCUUCGGACGUCGUUCCCAUGUCGA